Molecule: ribosomal RNA, 900 nt
Filed under: Leucochloridium perturbatum
Lineage: Eukaryota; Metazoa; Platyhelminthes; Trematoda; Diplostomida; Leucochloridiidae
Description: eukaryotic LSU rRNA
Rfam family: 5.8S ribosomal RNA (bases 310-462)
Source: RNAcentral
AAACUACCAGUCAUGCUUGGAGCGACAGGAUAGUACUGUGUACAACACUGUGCUAGGCUCAAAGAGGAGUGCAGGACUACGGACCGGCUCCCGCCUCAUUUGUUGUUAAUUUAAUUACUAUUAUUACACUGUUUAAGCUAACUAAAUUAGAUUUAAUUCUGAUUUUGUUAGUUGACUUAUGGCAUGCACCUGAUUGCUAGUCAAUUGGACUGCAUGUGACGAUCGCCUAGCGGUGCCUUAUCCUAGGCUCGAUCGGUAAAUCGAAAUGUUUGUUUUCAUUAAUUUUCAUUAAUGAAACAAAUAUUGUACAACUUUAAGCGGUGGAUCACUCGGCUCGUGUGUCGAUGAAGAGUGCAGCCAACUGUGUGAAUUAAUGUGAACUGCAUACUGCUUUGAACAUCGACCUCUUGAACGCAUAUUGCGGCCACGGGAUAUCCUGUGGCCACGCCUGGCCGAGGGUCGGCUUAUAAACUAUCACGAUGCCCAAAAAGUCGUGGAUUGGAUGCUGUGCCAGCUGGCAUGAUUUCCUCAAUGUAGUAUUUAAUUAAUAUACUAACAUAUGAGGUGCCAGAUCUAUGGCUCCAUCCUAAUGUAUCCGGUUACAGCCAAGUCUAUAUUUAUUAUUAUUAAAUGAUAAAAUUGCUGUAUUACUGGAUUAUGCUCAGGUCGUGGCUCAAUGAUUUUGAACACGCUUGAUGUUAUAAUCCAUAUAUUAAUUAUAUAAAUAUAGACAUUGGAUUAUUUUGUAGCCGAUGGAGUGUAAAUACUCUAUAAUAUGGGUAAUUUAUUGAUUUAUAUGAUACCCUAAUUAUAUAUAUUAUGACCCUGACCUCGGAUCAGACGUGAUUACCCGCUGAACUUAAGCAUAUCACUAAGCGGAGGAAAAGAAACUAACCAGGA